GAAAGACCCCGUGAACCUUUACUAUAGCUUGACACUGAACAUUGAGCCUUGAUGUGUAGGAUAGGUGGGAGGCUUUGAAGCGUGGACGCCAGUCUGCGUGGAGCCAACCUUGAAAUACCACCCUUUAAUGUUUGAUGUUCUAACGUUGGCCCCUAAUCGGGGUUGCGGACAGUGUCUGGUGGGUAGUUUGACUGGGGCGGUCUCCUCCCAAAGCGUAACGGAGGAGCACGAAGGUUAGCUAAUCCUGGUCGGACAUCAGGAGGUUAGUGCAAUGGCAUAAGCUAGCUUGACUGCGAGCGUGACGGCGCGAGCAGGUGCGAAAGCAGGUCAUAGUGAUCCGGUGGUUCUGAAUGGAAGGGCCAUCGCUCAACGGAUAAAAGGUACUCCGGGGAUAACAGGCUGAUACCGCCCAAGAGUUCAUAUCGACGGCGGUGUUUGGCACCUCGAUGUCGGCUCAUCACAUCCUGGGGCUGAAGUAGGUCCCAAGGGUAUGGCUGUUCGCCAUUUAAAGUGGUACGCGAGCUGGGUUUAGAACGUCGUGAGACAGUUCGGUCCCUAUCUGCCGUGGGCGCUGGAGAAUUGAGGGGGGCUGCUCCUAGUACGAGAGGACCGGAGUGGACGCAUCACUGGUGUUCGGGUUGUCAUGCCAAUGGCACUGCCCGGUAGCUAAAUGCGGAAGAGAUAAGUGCUGAAAGCAUCUAAGCACGAAACUUGCCCCGAGAUGAGUUCUCCCUGAGACUUUAAGUCUCCUGAAGGAACGUU
Molecule: ribosomal RNA, 762 nt
Filed under: Klebsiella quasipneumoniae subsp. similipneumoniae
Lineage: Bacteria; Pseudomonadati; Pseudomonadota; Gammaproteobacteria; Enterobacterales; Enterobacteriaceae
Description: partial 23S ribosomal RNA
Rfam family: Bacterial large subunit ribosomal RNA
Source: RNAcentral